CCCCUGAGAGGCCCCACAGGCACAUCUCAGGCUGUCCUCUGGGAAGAAAUGACCCAGGAGCUGAUAUUCAUGACCCUCCAAGAGACCCGGCAGCUUGUGGGCAUCUCAGAUGAGCCCCAGGCAGUUCUGAAACCCAGGACCAGGAAAAGAUAAGAGGGUGGGCUGAGGUCACAUCACCCUGUAACGUUUCCAAAAGGGAACUGUCAGGCCUCUGAGCCGAAGCUCAGCCAUUGUAACCCCUGUGACCUGCACAUAUAUGUCCAGGUGGCCUACAGGAGCCAAGAAGUCUGGAGCAGCUGAAAAACAAGGAAGUGAAACAGCCAAUUCCUGCCUUAACUAAUUAACCCACCUUACGACAUUCCACCAUUAUGACGUGUUCCUGCCCUGCCCCAACUGAUCAAUCGACCCUGUGACAUUCUUCUGGACAAUGAGUCCCAUCAUCUCUCCACCAUGCACCUUGUGACUCCCUCCUCUGCUGACAACAGAUAACCACCUUUAACUGUAACUUUCCACAGCCUACCCCAGCCCUAUAAAGCUGCCCCUCUCCUAUCUCCCUUCGCUGACUCUCUUUUCAGACUCAGCCCACUUGCACCCAAGUGAAUUAACAGCCUUGUUGCUCACACAAAGCCUGUUUAGGUGGUCUUCUAUACGGACAUGCUUGACACUUGGUGCCAAAAUCUGGGCCAGGGGGACUCCUUCGUGAGACCGGCCCCCUGUCCUGGCCCUCAUUCCGUGAAGAGAUCCACCUGCGACCUCGGGUCCUCAGACCAGCCCAAGGAACAUCUCACCAAUUUCAAAUCGGAUCUCCUCGGCUUAGUGGCUGAAGACUGAUGCUGCCCGAUCGCCUCAGAAGCCCCUUGGACCAUCACAGAUGCCGAGCUUCGGGUAACUCUUACGGUGGAGGAUUCCCAGCCAUAUGAAGACACCCUAGCUGGACGAUCAGUCCUUGUCAAAAGUCUGACCCCUCAAACUCUACAGCCUCAAUGGACCAGACCCUACCCGGUCAUUUAUAGCACACCAACUGCCGUCCAUCUGCAGGACCCUCUCCAUUGGGUUCACCAUUCCAGAAUAAAGCCAUGCCCAUCAGACAGCCAGCUUGAUCUCUCCUCUUCCUCCUGGAAGCCACAAGAUUAGGCCGAGAGCCGAUCAGACAAACAACCUACAACCCUUAAGCUCCUGGCAGCGCCCAGCCAAGGCCAUGCUUCCUUGCAACACUCCUUCCAAAUGGCCAUCCCAGCAUGCUUCCAAGCAGGCUUCAUCCGUUCCUCUGGACCCUCAUCUCUUAAGACCUGCCGCCUAUAAAAAGGAUUAUAUCUUGAGACCCUAUCCUCUAAAAUUUUUUCCACACCCAAAACAAAAAAUCUCUGGGUCAAAAGUCUAAAACGCUUAGGCUGGCAACCAUCAGAUCCUUGCCCAUGGUGUCCUCAAGCCUACUCUCAUGAAAUGGACAACAGUACACGCAUAUGGGGCCAGUUCCACAUAUUUGGCAACCAGACCAGCAUCCAGGACAACACAAAGAUCUGCAAUCAGAACUAUUGAACUUCUCCAUUCAGACCGCCACUCACACCUAUGGGAAAAGGGUAAUGUAUCAUCGGCUUAGCAACAGGGAAUACUAUUCGUAUGAUGGAAAAUGGGGACAAAAGGCUUUGGUACAUAAAACAUUAUUCCUUCCUUGGCCUAAAAACUCAUCGCCACCUACAUUAAAGCUAAUAUGCCUGAUUACUGUUUUUAGAGAACUUAUUUUAUUAGGGCAGUUCCAAGCUCAAAAAUACGCUAACUGGCACCUUGUUAGCUACAUAAAAAUGCACCCUAGACCCGAAACUUACUAGACUCAUUAUAAAAUUUUCUUUAAGGUGUCCACGCAGUCCCUGGUCACACUUGAAGCAGUCCGGAGAAAUAUCAGCCCUACCCCAGUAAUCCCCAGAAGGAACUUACACUUUUUUUUAAUCUUUUCCUACAACUUCAUAUUUUAUAAAUAAAAAGACAAAAAUGUCAGGCCUGUGAGCUGAAGCUUAGCCAUUGUAACCCCUGUGACCUGCACAUAUCCGUCCAGGUGGCCUGCAGGAGCCAAGAAGUCUGGAGCAGCCGAAAAACCACAAAGAAGUGAAACAGCCAGUUCCUGCCUUAACUAAUUAACCCACCUUACGACAUUCCACCAUUAUGACUUGUCCACCAUUAUGACUUGUUCCUGCCCUGCCCCAACUGAUCAAUCAACCCUGUGACAUUCUUCUCCUGGACAAUGAGUCCCAUCAUCUCUCCACCAUGCACCUUGUGACCCCCUCCUCUGCUGAGGAUAACCACCUUUAACUGUAACUUUCCACGCCUACCCAAGCCCUAUAAAGCUGCCCCUCUCCUAUCUCCCUUCACUGACUCUCUUUUCGGACUCAGCCCACUUGCACCCAAGUGAAUUAACAGCCUUGUUGCUCACACAAAGCCUGAUUGGGUGUCUUCUAUACGGACACGCGUGACAGGAACCUCAACCCAAAGGCAGUCUGAUGAGGUGUCUAAGAUAAAAGUAGCGGCACAAAGGCUUUUGUAAACAGAGGCGUUUCAUGUGGUUUUCCUUUCCUUUCCUUAUAUGUGAAAAGGUGACAGAAAAGAAAUCUUCCUAAAAGAGUCAGCCACUG
Long non-coding RNA from Homo sapiens (human), 2627 nucleotides. Ensembl annotates it as urothelial cancer associated 1. Its record names the gene UCA1. The record is from Ensembl. Lineage: Eukaryota; Metazoa; Chordata; Mammalia; Primates; Hominidae.